CAGUCGCCACGGUAAUACGAAGGGUGCAAGCGUUACUCGGAAUUACUGGGCGUAAAGCGUGCGUAGGUGGUGGUUUAAGUCCGUUGUGAAAGCCCUGGGCUCAACCUGGGAAUUGCAGUGGAUACUGGAUCACUAGAGUGUGGUAGAGGAUAGUGGAAUUUCCGGUGUAGCAGUGAAAUGCGUAGAGAUCGGAAGGAACAUCUGUGGCGAAGGCGACUAUCUGGGCCAACACUGACACUGAGGCACGAAAGCGUGGGGAGCAAGCAGGAUUAGAUACCCCUGUAGUCCCUGUCUCUUAUAC
RNAcentral lists this ribosomal RNA (301 nucleotides) under uncultured bacterium. Its description in RNAcentral is "partial 16S ribosomal RNA". It matches the Rfam family "Bacterial small subunit ribosomal RNA", at positions 509 to 807 of the family's 1533-position model. The record is from RNAcentral.